Molecule: non-coding RNA, 242 nt
Organism: Pelobates cultripes (western spadefoot toad)
Lineage: Eukaryota; Metazoa; Chordata; Amphibia; Anura; Pelobatidae
Source: the annotation of a GenBank genome assembly
UGUGUGUGAGAGUGCAGAGUGUGAUGAGUGUGAGAGUGCUGUGUAUGAUGUGUGUGAGAGUGCAGAGUGUGAUGAGUGUGAGAGUGCUGUGUAUGAUGUGUGUGAGAGUGCAGAGUGUGAUGAGUGCAGAGUGUGAUGAGUGCAGAGUGUGAUGAGUGUGAGAGUGCUGUGUAUGAUGUGUGUGAGAGUGCAGAGUGUGAUGAGUGUGAGAGUGCUGUGUAUGAUGUGUGUGAGAGUGCAGA